Lotus japonicus is the source of this 490-nucleotide long non-coding RNA. RefSeq lists it as uncharacterized. Lineage: Eukaryota; Viridiplantae; Streptophyta; Magnoliopsida; Fabales; Fabaceae. The transcript is spliced from 2 exons. The record is from RefSeq and is a predicted model, not a curated record.
CCUCAUCAUCCGCAACAAAACCCCCUCCAUCGAUUUGAUGAUCGGCCACCGUGACUCCGGCGACUGCCGCCGCCGCCGUCUUCUCCGGCGAGCUUUGUUAUGAGAAAGGAGGCCAAUUUCGUGAAGCUCUCAACCUCCUCUUCCUGAAUCCAAGGCCCAAUCAUCAGUAAGAGCCAUGAGGUUCACUAGCAGAGAGGGGAAACACGACCAGACCAAAGGAUUGAAGCUCAGUCCCAUGACCAUGAGACUUGAGGUAGAAGGAGGAGGACAUGAACACUAUGAGUUUAAAAAGCUUUGUGUGAUUUCUGAUGGACUGGAAAAUUUCAUCUUUAAAACAAAUAAAAUCAGCUUCUGUACAAUCUUUUGAUAAUAGGUUGCCAUUGUAAUGGUUCAUGUUUUUCUUCUCUUUUUGAAAGUCAAAAGUGUACUUAGAGUACUGUCAUGUGGAUAAAAGCUUUGUUUUUCAAAUAUAAGGCAGAUUUGAAUUGAA